UGGGGCGUCGCCAAGCGGUAAGGCGCCGGACUUUGGAUCCGGUAUUUCGUAGGUUCGAAUCCUACCGCCCCAGCCA
Molecule: transfer RNA, 76 nt
Filed under: Bacillota bacterium
Lineage: Bacteria; Bacillati; Bacillota
Description: tRNA-Gln
Rfam family: tRNA
About the family: Transfer RNA (tRNA) molecules are approximately 80 nucleotides in length. Their secondary structure includes four short double-helical elements and three loops (D, anti-codon, and T loops).
Source: RNAcentral